Long non-coding RNA from Eriocheir sinensis (Chinese mitten crab), 1416 nucleotides. RefSeq lists it as uncharacterized. The transcript is spliced from 3 exons. The record is from RefSeq and is a predicted model, not a curated record. Lineage: Eukaryota; Metazoa; Arthropoda; Malacostraca; Decapoda; Varunidae.
UCCAUGGGUAGUGUUAUGAGCCUGGUGAUAGUUUGACAAGGCUUUGGUGGAGGUUGUUGUGUUAGUAUUUCCAUGGGUAGUGUUAUGAGCCUGGUGAUAGUUUGACAAGGCUUUGGUGGAGGUUGUUGUGUUAGUAUUUCCAUGGGUAGUGUUAUGAGCCUGGUGAUAGUUUGACAAGGCUUUGGUGGAGGUUGUUGUGUUAGUAUUUCCAUGGGUAGUGUUAUGAGCCUGGUGAUAGUUUGACAAGGCUUUGGUGGAGGUUGUUGUGUUAGUAUUUCCAUGGGUAGUGUUAUGAGCCUGGUGAUAGUUUGACAAGGCUUUGGUGGAGGUUGUUGUGUUAGUAUUUCCAUGGGUAGUGUUAUGAGCCUGGUGAUAGUUUGACAAGGCUUUGGUGGAGGUUGUUGUGUUAGUAUUUCCAUGGGUAGUGUUAUGAGCCUGGUGAUAGUUUGACAAGGCUUUGGUGGAGGUUGUUGUGUUAGUAUUUCCAUGGGUAGUGUUAUGAGCCUGGUGAUAGUUUGACAAGGCUUUGGUGGAGGUUGUUGUGUUAGUAUUUCCAUGGGUAGUGUUAUGAGCCUGGUGAUAGUUUGACAAGGCUUUGGUGGAGGUUGUUGUGUUAGUAUUUCCAUGGGUAGUGUUAUGAGCCUGGUGAUAGUUUGACAAGGCUUUGGUGGAGGUUGUUGUGUUAGUAUUUCCAUGGGUAGUGUUAUGAGCCUGGUGAUAGUUUGACAAGGCUUUGGUGGAGGUUGUUGUGUUAGUAUUUCCAUGGGUAGUGUUAUGAGCCUGGUGAUAGUUUGACAAGGCUUUGGUGGAGGUUGUUGUGUUAGUAUUUCCAUGGGUAGUGUUAUGAGCCUGGUGAUAGUUUGACAAGGCUUUGGUGGAUGUUGUUGUGUUAGUAUUUCCAUGGGUAGUGUUAUGAGCCUGGUGAUAGUUUGACAAGGCUUUGGUGGAGGUUGUUGUGUUAGUAUUUCCAUGGGUAGUGUUAUGAGCCUGGUGAUAGUUUGACAAGGCUUUGGUGGAGGUUGUUGUGUUAGUAUUUCCAUGGGUAGUGUUAUGAGCCUGGUGAUAGUUUGACAAGGCUUUGGUGGAGGUUGUUGUGUUAGUAUUUCCAUGGGUAGUGUUAUGAGCCUGGUGAUAGUUUGACAAGGCUUUGGUGGAGGUUGUUGUGUUAGUAUUGCCAUGGGUAGUGUUAUGAGCCUGGUGAUAGUUUGACAAGGCUUUGGUGGAGGUUGUUGUGUUAGUAUUUCCAUGGGUAGUGUUAUGAGCCUGGUGAUAGUGUGACAAGGCUUUGGUGGAGGUUGUUGUGUUAGUAUUUCCAUGGGUAGUGUUAUGAGCCUGGUGAUAGUUUGACAAGGCUUUGGUGGAGGUUGUUGUGUUAGUAUUUCCAUGGGUAGUGUUAUGAGCCUGGUGAUAGUUUGA